GAUGAAGAACGUAGCGAAAUGCGAUAAGUAAUGUGAAUUGCAGAAUUCAGUGAGUCAUCGAAUCUUUGAACGCACAUUGCGCCCCCUGGUAUUCCGGGGGGCAUGCCUGUUCGAGCGUCAUUACAACCCUCAAGCUCUGCUUGGUAUUGGGCCCCGCCAGUUCUGGCGGGCCCUAAAGUCAGUGGCGGUGCCUUCCGGCUCCGAGCGUAGUAAUUCUUCUCGCUCUGGAGACCCGGUUGUGUGCUUGCCAACAACCCCCAAUUUUUUAAGGUUGACCUCGGAUCAGGUAGGGAUACCCGCUGAACUUAAGCAUAUCAAUAAGCGGAGGA
RNAcentral lists this unclassified non-coding RNA (329 nucleotides) under soil metagenome. Its description in RNAcentral is "partial contains 5.8S ribosomal RNA, internal transcribed spacer 2, and large subunit ribosomal RNA". The stretch from base 1 to 120 matches the Rfam family "5.8S ribosomal RNA", at positions 35 to 154 of the family's 154-position model. The record is from RNAcentral.